Molecule: unclassified non-coding RNA, 252 nt
Filed under: Hypocreales sp.
Lineage: Eukaryota; Fungi; Ascomycota; Sordariomycetes; Hypocreales
Description: partial contains 5.8S ribosomal RNA, internal transcribed spacer 2, and large subunit ribosomal RNA
Source: RNAcentral
CGCACAUUGCGCCCUCUAGUAUUCUGGUGGGCAUGCCUGUUCGAGCGUCGUCAACACCCCUCAAGCCUAGCUUGGCGUUGGGACCCUAUGCUCCCGGUGUAGGCCCCUAAAACUAGUGGCAGGACCGCAGUGGACCUGGGCGUAGUAACACUACCCGCCUCGGGCUCCGCAGCGUGGGCUGCCGUAAAGCCGUCGCCUGGCGACACUUAUCAUUUUGACCUCGGAUCAGGUAGGAAUACCCGCUGAACUUAA